Molecule: ribosomal RNA, 736 nt
Filed under: uncultured Corynebacterium sp.
Lineage: Bacteria; Bacillati; Actinomycetota; Actinomycetes; Mycobacteriales; Corynebacteriaceae
Description: bacterial SSU rRNA
Rfam family: Bacterial small subunit ribosomal RNA
Source: RNAcentral
GACGAACGCUGGCGGCGUGCUUAACACAUGCAAGUCGAACGGAAAGGCUCCAGCUUGCUGGAGUACUCGAGUGGCGAACGGGUGAGUAACACGUGGGCAAUCUGCCCUGCACUCUGGGAUAAGCCUGGGAAACUGGGUCUAAUACUGGAUAGGACCUUUCUCCUCAUGGGGUUUGGUGGAAAGUUUUUCGGUGCAGAAUGAGCCCGCGGCCUAUCAGCUUGUUGGUGGGGUAAUGGCCUACCAAGGCGACGACGGGUAGCCGGCCUGAGAGGGUGAUCGGCCACAUUGGGACUGAGAUACGGCCCAGACUCCUACGGGAGGCAGCAGUGGGGAAUAUUGCACAAUGGGCGGAAGCCUGAUGCAGCGACGCCGCGUGAGGGAUGACGGCCUUCGGGUUGUAAACCUCUUUCAGUAGGGACGAAGCGUAAGUGACGGUACCUGCAGAAGAAGCACCGGCUAACUACGUGCCAGCAGCCGCGGUAAUACGUAGGGUGCGAGCGUUGUCCGGAAUUACUGGGCGUAAAGAGCUCGUAGGCGGUUUGUCACGUCGUCUGUGAAAUCCUAGGGCUUAACCCUGGACGUGCAGGCGAUACGGGCUGACUUGAGUACUACAGGGGAGACUGGAAUUUCUGGUGUAGCGGUGGAAUGCACAGAUAUCAGGAAGAACACCGAUGGCGAAGGCAGGUCUCUGGGUAGUAACUGACGCUGAGGAGCGAAAGCAUGGGUAGCGAACAGG